Long non-coding RNA from Pseudopipra pipra, 248 nucleotides. RefSeq lists it as uncharacterized. The transcript is spliced from 3 exons. The record is from RefSeq and is a predicted model, not a curated record. Lineage: Eukaryota; Metazoa; Chordata; Aves; Passeriformes; Pipridae.
CAAAGAGCUGUAUCUGGAGGAAGUGAAAACCAGAAGAUGCCUUGCCAAGAAACUGGAAAGGCUGGAAAAGCUUCUGAGGAUAGAGAGGAGGAAACUCCGGGUUAAUGAAGAGAAAGGAAGUCAGUCCAGCUGGAAGAAAUGAAGAAGAGAUAUUCUGAAAAGGUCAAGGAAGUUGAUAGAUUCCAAAGAGAGGUUGCUGAACUUUCCCAGCAGUUGGACAGGGAACGUGAACAGUGCACGCAGCUGGG